UGUAAGCGUAUACCAAAGUUGUUGCAGUUAAAACGCUCGUAGUCGGGAUUUGGCAGUUCCGGAUGUGUGCACGUCGUGUGCGCACUUCGCGGGGAUUGCUUUUGUGGUCUUGCGUAGGAUGAGGCACUUUUAUUAGUGAACGUCCUCACGCAACCACUUUUUACUGUGAGAAAAUCAGAGUGCUCAAAGCAGGCAUUUGCCGUGAAUGUAUUAGCAUGGAAUAAUAGAAUAGGACUUGGUUCUAUUUUGUUGGUUUGUUGGGACUGAGUAAUGAUUAAGAGGGACAGUUGGGGGCAUUUGUAUUUCGGUGCUAGAGGUGAAAUUCUUAGAUUACCGAAAGACAAACUGCUGCGAAAGCGUCUGCCAAGGAUGUUUUCAUUGA
RNAcentral lists this ribosomal RNA (382 nucleotides) under uncultured eukaryote. RNAcentral's name for it is "partial 18S ribosomal RNA". It matches the Rfam family "Eukaryotic small subunit ribosomal RNA", at positions 592 to 976 of the family's 1831-position model. The record is from RNAcentral.